This 502-nucleotide long non-coding RNA is filed under the name Parus major (Great Tit). RNAcentral's name for it is "lncRNA (ENSPMJG00000018547.1)". Lineage: Eukaryota; Metazoa; Chordata; Aves; Passeriformes; Paridae. The record is from RNAcentral.
AGGAAAGCCAGCGCUGAUUUCUCCACUACCUGCACCUCUCUCACCUUGUGUGUGCAGGACUUUGCUCAGCUCACCCCAUUUCCUGGGUUCAAACAUCUCCCAGUGCUUCCUUCUUCACUGGUGAUCACCCUUCAGGCUGCAGUGCUGGGCACUCCUGGGGCUGUCACUCCUCAAGGACUGGCCACACCUUGGUGUCCCCACCAAUGCCAGCAGUGCUUUCUCCACUGGACUACAAGGUUUCUCCCCAAGCUUCAAUUCCUGACUUAGAAAGCCUCGUUCUCCUGCCUCAUUCCCAUCCUGCAUCUCCCUAAAAAAACCUCCAUAAAACAACAGCUGAGGACACCCUGUAACCCCUCCCGUGGUGUGAAGGCACCUCCUGAUGUUGGGACACCACCAAGACAAAGCUAAAGCUGACACAUCCUCCCUCCCAAGGACGGGAGCUGGGCUUGGAGCCCGGAGAAGAUGCUUCCCUGCCAUUAAUGGGAUGAAAUAAUGCAAAAUU